This 1068-nucleotide long non-coding RNA is filed under the name Cricetulus griseus (Chinese hamster). Its description in RNAcentral is "lncRNA (ENSCGRG00015037961.1)". The record is from RNAcentral. Lineage: Eukaryota; Metazoa; Chordata; Mammalia; Rodentia; Cricetidae.
UGUGAAAAAUUUGCAGCUUGAUCAGAAACCUGUCUUGCUGUCCUUCUUUGUUCCCCCUGACCCUUCUGUUCUAGGUUCUUUGGUGACUGCAGCACAUCAGGGUGUGAGCUCGAGUUAUUCCCCACAGGAAAACAAAAAAACAAGAUGGCGGCUGGACCAUUUGGAGAUAUGCAUGGAGAAGAGGAAAACUGAUAUGCUGAGAUAAAAAAGCCACCCCUCUCUUCCUCCUGAAAACCCCACCUCCAAGAUCACCCUUAGCCAGCUCAUGGGUUGGGUUCCAGUCACUGUGUGGCACCUCCCACUUUCAAUUCCCUUAACCCGUUCUCACCUCUGCAACCUUGCCUGUCACCCACUGAUUCCUCCUAGCAAUACCUGGUGCCUCUGUUCCAAUGGCCUCACCCCCUGCAUUUAUAACUCUUUGUUCCAACAAGGUGAGAUGUGUCCUAUUGUCCAGCUGGUGCCAUGACUCUCCUACUCCCCCACAGAGGAAUUUUUCUCUCUCCUCCCACCUCUGCCCCCUCCACAAUUGCAGGGAACCCAUCUCUGCACUAACCGUGGAUGUUUUACUUGGACUAGGGGCUGCUGGAGCAGGAACAGGCUUAUCAUCCCACACUCUGUCCUCCAAACGCUGUGAUGAAUUCAGUACCACUAUUGCCCAGGAUGUCCAGAAACUACAGGCAGGAAUAACUGACCUUAGACUGGCUCUCUACUUCCUUCUGGGUGACAACUCUCCUGCCCUCAAUUUUAGGCCCUUUUAUAGGAUUUUUGUUGUUAAUUUCUUUUGGCCCCUGGGCAUUUAAUCGCUUAACUGGCUUCAUUAAACAACAGAUAGAUUUUCUCAUUGCUAAGCCCAUACAGGUCCAUUAUCAUCGUUUAGCCAUGGAGGACUCAGAAGGCAGGUCACGAUUCCCCUCAUCACUGCCCAUCUCCACCCAGCCUUAGGGGACCCUUUCUUGGCACUGACAUUUCCAGGCAUGUCUGCCACCUAAAUGAGAAUUACUGCUUACAGACAGCAGAGGUACGUUUAUACUAAAUAAUAAAAGGUAAACUAGCCUGGAUCCCUCGGAG